UGAGUACGAGAUGCUACGGCAUCGAAGCAGUCUAUGUCAUACUUCCAAGAAAAGCUUGCAAUGUCAUAAACAAAUAAUGCCUGUACCAUAACCGACACAGGUGGGUAGGUAGAGUAUACUAAGGGGCGCGAGAUAACUCUCUCUAAGGAACUCGGCAAAAUGACUCCGUAACUUCGGGAGAAGGAGUGCCUUAUUUUUAUAAGGUUGCAAUAACAAGAUCCAAGCAACUGUUUACCAAAAACACAGGUCUCCGCUAAGUCGUAAGACGAUGUAUUGGGGCUGACGCCUGCCCAGUGCCAGAAGGUUAAAGAAGUUGGUUAGCAUUAGCGAAGCUGAUAACUGAAGCCCUGGUGAACGGCGGCCGUAACGAUAACGGUCCUAAGGUAGCGAAAUUCCUUGUCGGGUAAGUUCCGACCCGCACGAAAGGCGUAAUGAUUUGGAUACUGUCUCGGAGAGGGGCUCGGUGAAAUAGACUUGUCUGUGAAGAUGCGGACUACCUGCACCUGGACAGAAAGACCCUAUGAAGCUUUACUGUAACUUGAGAUUGAAAUUGGACUUUAUCUGCGCAGUAUAGGUGGGAGACGUUGAAAAUAUUCUUGCGGGAAUAUUGGAGUCAUCAGUGAGAUACCACUCUUAUAAUGUUAGAUUUCUAACUUUGUAUCAUUAUCUGGUCAAAGAACAGUUUCAGGCGGGCAGUUUGACUGGGGCGGUCGCCUCCCAAACGGUAACGGAGGCGCACAAAGGUUUCCUCUGAACGUGUAGAAAUCGUAUCUAGAGUGUAAAGGCAUAAGGAAGCUUGACUGUGAGACCUACAAGUCGAGCAGGGACGAAAGUCGGUCUUAGUGAUCUGACGGUGCUGAGUGGAAAGGCCGUCACUCAACGGAUAAAAGUUACUCUAAGGAUAACAGGCUGAUCUCCCCCAAGAGUUCACAUCGACGGGGAGGUUUGGCACCUUGAUGUCGGCUCAUCGCAUCCUGGGGCGGUAGUACGUCCCAAGGGUUGGGCUGUUCGCCCAUGAAAGCGGUACGCGAGCUGGGUUCAGAACGUCGUGAGACAGUUCGGUCCAUAUCCGGUGUAGGCGUUAGAAUAUUGAGAGGAGCCUUCUUUAGUACGAGAGGACCGAGAAGGACAUACCUCUGGUGUACCAGUUAUCGUGCCAACGGUAAACGCUGGGUAGCCAUGUAUGGAGAGGAUAACCGCUGAAAGCAUCUAAGUGGGAAGCCCACCUCAAGAUAAG
This 1237-nucleotide ribosomal RNA is filed under the name metagenome. RNAcentral describes it as "bacterial LSU rRNA". It matches the Rfam family "Bacterial large subunit ribosomal RNA", at positions 1564 to 2808 of the family's 2925-position model. The record is from RNAcentral.